ACUCUUCACAUGCCCAGGUUCAGAGACAAUCUGAAUGUCUAGGACAACUUGAGCAGGUGUGAAGAAAUGAGACUUUCUGUUCUUUUCCAAAGCACCCCUGCACAGGAAAAGACAUCAAUUCAAUACUGGAAUGGCCAACAUGGAGAUAAGAAGACAAUUUUCUUCCCCACGGUUUCAGUAUAAAAGGAUUUAUGCAGUCCUCAUUGAGGAUUGGCCUGAGUCUUUCUUGAAUGUGAUUUUAUGGCUUGUUUGCUUUUUUGCAUUGCUCAGUGGAUGUUGGUGAUAAGGUUGCACUUUCUGAGUGGUUAGAUUUGUU
Molecule: non-coding RNA, 316 nt
Organism: Lonchura striata (white-rumped munia)
Lineage: Eukaryota; Metazoa; Chordata; Aves; Passeriformes; Estrildidae
Source: RefSeq, a predicted model, not a curated record